AACGAACGCUGGCGGCGUGCCUAACACAUGCAAGUCGAACGAAAACGUCCUGCCUUUUUGCGCUCGUCUGCUUACCACCUGGGAAGCUGCACUUGAGUUCGGUGUCACUCCCUGUAAGGGAACCUCAUACAAGUUAAUGUCAUCCGGCAAAAGAUUUAUUGCCUUAGGGUGGGCCCGCGUUAGUUUCGGCAGUUGGUAGGGUACAAGCCUACCAAGGCGAUGAUCCAUAGCUGGUCUGAUAGGAUGAUCCGGCACACUGGGACUGAGACACGGCCCAGACUCCUACGGGAGGCAGCAGUGGGGAAUAUUGGACAAUGGGCGAAAGCCUGAUCCAGCAAUGCCGCGUGAGUGAUGAAGGCCUUAGGGUUGUAAAGCUCUUUUACACGGGAUGAUAAUGACAGUACCGGGAGAAUAAGCUCCGGCUAACUCCGUG
Molecule: ribosomal RNA, 433 nt
Filed under: uncultured bacterium
Lineage: Bacteria
Description: partial 16S ribosomal RNA
Rfam family: Bacterial small subunit ribosomal RNA
Source: RNAcentral